GUCGCAAACUUGAAGUAGAGUAGAUUAGUAUGGUCAGCUGAUCCUUAUAAUCUACUCUACUUCGAAUCUGGGCCC
Non-coding RNA from Haemonchus contortus (barber pole worm), 75 nucleotides. The record is from Rfam. NCBI's taxonomy places the organism in Eukaryota, Metazoa, Nematoda, Chromadorea, Rhabditida, Trichostrongylidae.